GAGCUCGAAGCCGAGCGUCGUCCAGGGAUGUGAGCAGGAAGUCCUGGGCACCAAGAGAGAGUCGUAGGGGAGGAGCUCGGCAAGGUGCGACGGCCAUGGGAAAAACCUCGGUGGGGUCGCGGCUCGACGGCGCCCGCAGCCGGAGCAAGCACCAGAGACGAGCACGACGGGGCGGCUACCAGCGAAACCCAUGGAGGCGUCCAGGGAGAGGAGCGGUAGGUGUCGUCACCCGCUGGAGCAGAGAGAGAAGGACAGCCGGGCAGCAUGGGAGAGCUGGAGAUGGCCGGUGGCGCGAGCAGGGAAGGAGCAAAGGCCGAGCUUGGCGGCCAUGGCGAGCAACAGGAGGGUGGCCAAGCUGGAGCCGGCGCGCGCAGGGAGGAGCUAGGGAGAGGGGCGAGCUCGGUACUAGAAGGAGCGUGGAGCUGGGCGCCGAGCGGCAACAGGGAGGAGAUGGGACGGCACGCAGGGGAGCUUCAGGGCGCGCGGUUUGGGGAAGACAGAGCGCGCGCAGAGAAUAUCAGGGAGAGGGAGAGAGAUAAUGACAGGAGGAGAGAAAAAAUCUCCAUGGCGCAUAGGAGAUAAUGCCGGCUGAGAAAAAUCAGAGGGAAGCGGCGGCGGUGAGAAAAAUCAGGGAGAGAGAACGGCUGCAGAUAUUUUCCUUUUUUUUAAUUUCUUUUUUUCUUUCUUUUACAGAAAAUCACAGAUAUUUUGAAUUGGGAUUUUUAGCGAUGAAUAAAGGGUCAACGUGCUAUA
RNAcentral lists this unclassified non-coding RNA (753 nucleotides) under Zea mays. Its description in RNAcentral is "misc RNA Zm00001eb224880". The record is from RNAcentral. Lineage: Eukaryota; Viridiplantae; Streptophyta; Magnoliopsida; Poales; Poaceae.